Molecule: ribosomal RNA, 948 nt
Filed under: Myiomma sp. S452
Lineage: Eukaryota; Metazoa; Arthropoda; Insecta; Hemiptera; Miridae
Description: SSU rRNA
Rfam family: Eukaryotic small subunit ribosomal RNA
Source: RNAcentral
CGCGCAAAUUACCCACUUCCCGGCACGGGGUAGGUAGUGACAAAAAAUAACGAUACGGGUACUCUUAUGAGGCCCCGUAAUCGGAAUGAGUACACUUUAAAUCCUUUAACAAGGGAUCCAUUGGAGGGCAAGUCUGGUGCCAGCAGCUGCGGUAAUUCCAGCUCCAAUAGCGUAUAUUAAAGUUGUUGCGGUUAAAAAGCUCGUAGUUGGUUCUGCGUGCUACGCUGUCGGUUCGCCGCCUGCCGGUGUAACUGGCAUGCCGUGGCAUGUCCUGUCGGUGGCGAACGAGCCCCUUGUCUAGGUGACGGCCGGAGGCAACUUCGCGUCCGUAGGCCGGAGGUUCAACUCGUUCGUCUGCUCUAUCCUACCUAGGUGCUCUUCACCGAGUGUCGAGGUAGGCCGACACGUUUACUUUGAACAAAUUAGAGUGCUCAAAGCAGGCUGAAAUCUCUGCCUGAAUAGUGGUGCAUGGAAUAAUAAAACAGGACCUUGGUUCUAUUUUGUUGGUUCUUAAGAACACAAGGUAAUGAUCAAUACGGACAGGCGGGGGCAUUCGUAUUGCGACGUUAGAGGUGAAAUUCUUGGAUCGUCGCAAGACGCACAAGAGCGAAAGCAUUUGCCAAGUAUGUCUUGAUUGAUCAAGAACGAAAGUUAGAGGUUCGAAGGCGAUCAGAUACCGCCCUAGUUCUAACCAUAAACGAUGCCAGCCAGCGAUCCGCCGAUGUUCCUCCGAUGACUCGGCGGGGAGCUUCUCCCCGGGAAACCAAAGCUUUUGGGUUCCGGGGGAAGUAUGGUUGCAAAGCUGAAACUUAAAGGAAUUGACGGAAGGGCACCACCAGGAGUGGAGCCUGCGGCUUAAUUUGACUCAACACGGGAAACCUCACCAGGCCAGGACAUUGGAAGGAUUGACAGAUUGAUAGCUGCUUUCUUGAUUCAGUGGGUCAGUGG